This 272-nucleotide long non-coding RNA is filed under the name Elaeis guineensis (African oil palm). RNAcentral's name for it is "long non-coding RNA (EGUI_LNC057142)". The record is from RNAcentral. Lineage: Eukaryota; Viridiplantae; Streptophyta; Magnoliopsida; Arecales; Arecaceae.
GGUAUGUCUAUACUUCUCAUACUUUUAGAUUUAAUUUUAAAUUUUAAAUAUCAGAUAAUAAAAUUAGAUCUAAUAGAUAUUAGAUCUAAAAUAGCAUAGGAUUAAAUUUUUAAAUUAUUCCACCCCAGAUUUGAUGAAAUCUGAAAGAUCCUACAAAGGAAAAAGGUGAUUUUUCUUUCAAUUGUGUGUCAUAUGCAUUCAUUGUCCUCAUAACUAAAUGGUGUGGAGAUAUUGGUGUAGCAUACAAGUGAAAUUGUAGGAGUACAUCUCAU